GAUGAAGAACGUAGCGAAAUGCGAUACGUAAUGUGAAUUGCAGAAUUCAGUGAAUCAUCGAAUCUUUGAACGCACAUUGCGCCCCUUGGUAUUCCAUGGGGCAUGCCUGUUCGAGCGUCAUUUGUACCUUCAAGCUCUGCUUGGUGUUGGGUGUUUGUCUCGCCUCUGCGCGUAGACUCGCCUCAAAACAAUUGGCAGCCGGCGUAUUGAUUUCGGAGCGCAGUACAUCUCGCGCUUUGCACUCAUAACGACGACGUCCAAAAGUACAUUUUUACACUCUUGACCUCGGAUCAGGUAGGGAUACCCGCUGAACUUAAGCAUAUCAAUAAGCGGAGGA
This 337-nucleotide unclassified non-coding RNA is filed under the name soil metagenome. RNAcentral's name for it is "partial contains 5.8S ribosomal RNA, internal transcribed spacer 2, and large subunit ribosomal RNA". The stretch from base 1 to 120 matches the Rfam family "5.8S ribosomal RNA", at positions 35 to 154 of the family's 154-position model. The record is from RNAcentral.